AACGAACGCUGGCGGCGCGCCUAAUACAUGCAAGUCGAGCGAGAAGACGUAGCAAUACGUUUGUAAAGCGGCGAACGGGUGAGGAAUACAUGGGUAACCUACCCUCGAGUGGGGAAUAACUAGCCGAAAGGUUAGCUAAUACCGCGUACGCUCCUUGGACUUCGGUUCAGGGAGGAAAGCGAUACCGUGGGUAUCGCGCUCUUGGAUGGGCUCAUGUCCUAUCAGCUUGUUGGUGAGGAACGGCUCACCAAGGCUUCGACGGGUAGCUGGUCUGAGAGGACGAUCAGCCACACUGGCACUGCGACACGGGCCAGACUCCUACGGGAGCAGCAGUAAGGAAUAUUGCGCAAUGGGCGAAAGCCUGACGCAGCGACGCCGCGUGGGGGAUGAAGGUCUUC
Molecule: ribosomal RNA, 398 nt
Filed under: uncultured bacterium
Lineage: Bacteria
Description: bacterial SSU rRNA
Rfam family: Bacterial small subunit ribosomal RNA
Source: RNAcentral